AGCCCUCUCUGCCAAGAGCUGAGACCUCCUGGUGCCCACGGUCAUGAGCAGUUUGGUUGCAGGUUUCAGGGCUGUGACAUCUUGUGCUCAACUGGGUCCCUGACACUCUGACUCAGAUGCAUGGUCAGCGGUAGCUCAGAGGUGGACGGGAUCCUGCAGGUGUCUGCGUGUAUUGUGGGUGCCUGCCUUUUAGUGUUACACGGUGUUUUCUAUUAAAAAUGUGAAUUAUUUGCCAGCAUUAAAAAUUACAAAGUUUCACAUAACACAGAUUUCCAACUCUUUGGAAAACGAGGCAGUGCUGCUAAAGUGGAGCAGCAUUCCCGCUUGGCAGUGACCGCCGGCCUCAGCGAGGGGCCUCCUCAGCCCCCACCCAAGGGAUCUACUCCUUCCUGCGACCUGGUCCCUGGAGAUUGGAGUUUACAACUCUGUGCCCUCCAAGUUCAGCUGACACUAACAACCUUCCCAAACUGCUCAGGGCCCACAGGGAAAUGAUGAAGAGCUUGGGUCUACCCACCAAACUUCAGGCGGCAGGAGAAUGUAUCGUAAUAAAAUGUGUGUUUGUCUCUCUA
This is a long non-coding RNA of Myotis lucifugus (little brown bat), 569 nucleotides long. RefSeq lists it as uncharacterized. The record is from RefSeq and is a predicted model, not a curated record. NCBI's taxonomy places the organism in Eukaryota, Metazoa, Chordata, Mammalia, Chiroptera, Vespertilionidae. The transcript has 2 exons.